This 476-nucleotide small RNA is filed under the name Pan troglodytes (chimpanzee). RNAcentral describes it as "processed transcript". Lineage: Eukaryota; Metazoa; Chordata; Mammalia; Primates; Hominidae. The record is from RNAcentral.
CUUGUGGGGAGGCUUAGGACGGGCGGGUGCAAUCCUCGAAGGGGAGUCUCAGCGACCAUGGGGGACACCAUCCACUAGAUGUCAGGCUGAAGGAGAUGAUGAAACUCUGUAAGCCCAAGAACAUGGGGAAAGAGGAGACACAGGAAGCCACGCUAUCCCCACAGGGACCCCUGCCAGCCAGGCCACCCGCAACGGUGUGGGACUUGAGUGCCGUUGCCCCCGGCGGUCCAGCAGCAGGACAGCCCGAGCAGCCUGGCCUAGGAGGCUCACCGCAGCCGUCAAGGGAUUCUGGGCCACCCACCCUUCCUUCUCCACCUUCUACUUCGUCUUUGCCAUUUUUGUGGUGUCCACCAUCUUUCACUGCCACCAGCGCCUGGCUCUGGUGCCUGCGCCCUGGGCAUACUCCGCCCAUGUGGUCCUGGCCCCCAGACACCUGCCCCGGGAGGGCCUGUUCACUAUCAACUCCAAGGGCCGCC